CCUAUGCAAACAGGGUUA
RNAcentral lists this small nuclear RNA (18 nucleotides) under Arabidopsis thaliana (thale cress). Its description in RNAcentral is "snRNA_05119". Lineage: Eukaryota; Viridiplantae; Streptophyta; Magnoliopsida; Brassicales; Brassicaceae. The record is from RNAcentral.